This 197-nucleotide unclassified non-coding RNA is filed under the name uncultured fungus. RNAcentral's name for it is "sequence contains ITS1". Lineage: Eukaryota; Fungi. The record is from RNAcentral.
UUGAUUUAUUAAUUUUAAUCAUUUUCAGACAAAGUUGUUAAAAACAGAGUUUGUUAUAAAAUCCUUUGGCCAAAUCCCUGGUUAAAGGGCUCAGCCAAAGCAAAUGUUUUAUAAUCGUUCACAGGUGUUUGAAUAGAAAAACUGUCUUUCGACAAUAUAAUUCGUUAAUGAUCCUUCCGCAGGUUCACCUACGGAAA